Non-coding RNA from Ictidomys tridecemlineatus (thirteen-lined ground squirrel), 6607 nucleotides. The record is from RefSeq and is a predicted model, not a curated record. Lineage: Eukaryota; Metazoa; Chordata; Mammalia; Rodentia; Sciuridae.
AGCCCCGCCUCGCCGGAACCAUCUACCCGCCUGGCGCCAUGACACCUACUGAGGCGGAAGUGCGGAGGAGCCCGCGGACUAGGACGACCGCAUAGUACCUACGGCAGUGGGAAAGGAGACGCCCUAGCUGCAUGACAUCCAUGUACUGGAUGUGGAAGCCUUCAGGAACAUCGGAUGCCCUUUAAGGAUCUGAUUGCUACCUUGAGAAUCUGUAUUUGCAUUAAGAAGUGAGAUGAAAUAGCUGUGCUCUAAACGCAUCCUCUCAAAACGCGAAUGAGCGAACGCCAACAUCAUAAUUUUCUUGCCUCUACCAAAGGUAGUAAGGGUGUUCAGGAAACAAUGCACUGGGCACAACGUUCUUGAAAAAGCGGGCACUGCUUGAAAACUAGCUUAUCCUAAUAGAAAGACAGUCUCCCAGCCUCAAGAGAUUCUGGAGAUGCACCUCCAGUUGUGUAAAAUGCUCUGUGUGAAGUGGGGAAUAUUUUAGGGAAACUAAUAUAAUUCAUUUGUUGCAUACCACAAAUGCUAGAGGAACCAAUGAUCUGAACCCUAGAAAGUGAUAGGAGCCCGGUGUGGUGGCAUAAGCUUGUAACCAGAUGCUCAGGACGCUUAGGCAGGAAGAUUGCAAAUUCAAAUUCCAGGCCAGCCUGAUCAUUUUAGCGAGAAUAUGAAAGAGUCUGGACCCGCGGGUUGUGCACUUGCACAUCCCAACGACUGGGGAGGCUGAGGCAGGAGGAUCCUAAGUUUCAGGCCAACCUCAGUAACUUAGUGAGACCUUCUGCAAUUUAGUGAGACACUGUCUAAAAAUAAAAAUGACGGGAAAAACUGUCCAGAAUCAUGAAUAUUUGCAUAUACUCUUUGAGGAGGGAAACAGAUGUGGCUGAAACAAGAUUCUGCUAUCCAUUUCUAUUUCUAUCUCACUCAUUAUACAUCCUAGAUUUCCUUGAAACCCUAUCUCCUCAAAAAAAGACAAUUUUUGUAAAAUGUUCUACAGUCCCUUUUAAGGGAAGUAAUUUGGGUUUCUCCCUGGCUAAACGACACUGGGAGCAGUUCCAUUUUAUUGGGAACAGGGAAGUUUAUUUCCCUAGAGGACCAGGGUUAGCAAAAGUGUUCAAUCCCACAGGGCAGUUUUGUUUGCUUAUUUUCACAGAAACUUCCUUCUUACUGUUUAGAGAACAUAAAGUCCCCACAUCAGGCUGACCCUGGAAACAUUAAGACAUGAAGAGUGAGGGAGGGUGCCUGCCUGGUAAACCAGGAAAAAGGCAGAAACCUGAGGCUGGAGAUGAACAGGUCCUGCUCCAAAAGCAAGCUUCAGGCACGCUAUUUACCUUGCCUUGGUUCAACAGCUCUCAUCUCCUACUCUCCCAAGUUAUAUCUCUUUCCUCUUUUCAAACAUACCUCAAAAUUUACCCUCAGGGGAUCCUUUCCCCUGAAUGACUCCCAUGUUAUCUUCAUUCUGCAUUGCCUGACAACUUAGAUCAUUUAUUUAUUUGUACCUUAUUUACUUGUUGAUCUCAACUGUUCUCAAUCUGUCUCAUUAUGCAGGCAGUUCGUUUUCUUAUUUAUUUAAGUGUUUAUGGUACUGGGGAUUGAACACAGAGGCAUUCUACCACUAAGGUGCAUCCCUAGCCUCUAUUUUUUUAUUAAGAUAAGGUCUCGCUAAGUUGCCCAGACUGGCCUAAAAUUUGCAAUUCUCCUGUCUCAGACAGGUGUGUGCCACUGGGACCCAGCAGGUAAGGAGCAUCUUAAAAUCUAGUACUUUCUUCUUUCUAAUGUCAUUCAUUCAUUCAUCCAGCAAACUGCUUGUAUGCCUGCUCUAUGCCAGACACUUCCCUAGACACUGGAGCCAGAUGUAAGAUGAAUGGUCUUUUCCCUCAGGGAGCUUACAAUCUAGUGAGGAAAAAAAAAUGAGUGAGAGAGAACAUCAUCAGAGAAGGUAAUAUUUGAAUAUGAUAUGGUUAAAAAAAACUUAACAGUUUAAAGCUAGAGUCAUUUGUCCAUUCGACACCUAUAUAUAGGGCAUCUUCUGUGUGCCAGACACUGCAUUAGAAAUUAGAGGUGCAAAGAAGAAAAGGCAAGUUCUAUGCCCUGGAGAAGCUUAUGGUUCUAUGGAGAAGGGUGUGAAAUUAGUAAGGUAGAUUGAGUCCAUUUUUGUUUGUUUUCUCCCUUUUUGAGGUGGCUGGAGAUUGAACUCAGGACCUGUGCAAUGUUAGGCAUGUGCUCUACCAGAGCUACACCACCAUCUCCUGUGUUGGUCUUUGAAAGGCAAUGAAGAGCAAUUAGAGGUUCAAUCAGACAGGUAAUAGGAGAGAACUGAUACUGGUAAGAGCAGCUGGCUGGAGAAAUGCAACCUAAUUAGAAAACAGGAUGAGGGUUCAAACAAAGAACAUGAAGAUAAUGGGCCAGAAAUGUGAAAUAUUUCCUCCCAGACAAAGUCAGGGCAGCUGGAAAGGGAGAUGAGGCUGUUAGUAAUUAGAAGCUUUGAUGCCACAAGAUGGAUAUGAUCCCUCCAGGGCUUAUAGCCUGGAUUCAGUGUUGCAAGCAAGAAGUCACUUGUUCAGGAGCUGCAGUGCUUAAGGACAAAUAAGAGAAGCUGACCAGAAGGCUGUACCUUUAGAGAAGCUAAAUCCAAAAGGUUAGCCAAUGCCAGGUGUGGUAGUGCAUGCCUGUCAUUCCAGCUACUCAGGAGCCUGAGGCAGGAAGAUCACAAGCUUGAGGUCAGCCUGGGCUGUCUCACAGUCAAAAAUAAAAAGGACUGGGGAUGUAGUUCAGUAGUAAGUGCUCCUGGGUUCAGUCCCCAGUACCACAAAAAUUUUUAAAAAUCUAGGAGCAAACAAUCCAAACAACUAGUAAGUCCAAAGUGCUUGGAAGAAAAAGAGAAUUCAAGAAAAAGUCAACAAGUUGUAAAACUGGGAAAUCCAGAUGAGUGGGAAGGUUUGAAGUGAAGAAUAGGAAGCAAAACCUGGGAAAAUCCCCUGAGCCAAAAGGAAGGAAGUCUUGAUUUUUUUUUAAGUCCAGAUCCCAGAUAUAAUUUCAAACAUACAGAAAAGUUGAAAGAAUAAUUUUUAAAAAGCACCUCUGCACCCUUUACCCAAAUUCACUGAUGUCAUCUCUCCCCUUUUCUUUAUUAUUUGUGUUCUUAGAUUACAUCUGUAGGUAGGUAGAAUAAAGGUAUAAAACACGUGUACAUACACAUACAUUUUUUUCUUUUGAAAGUAAAUUGCAUGCAUCAUGCCCCCACUUGCCCCUCAAUACUGGAAUAUCCUAAGUACAUUCUCUUACAUAAAUGUAAUACAUAUAGUUAUCAAUUCCAGGAAAUUUAACAUUGAUAUGAUACUUUAUCAAUAACCCAUAUACUAAUUUUUGUCAAUUGACCGAAUAACAUCUCUCUUAGCAUUUUUCCCCCUCCAGCACAAGAUCCAGUUUAGAGUUAUAUAUUGCAUUUAAUUGUCCUUUCUCUUUAGGUUCCUUUAAUCUGGAAUACUCUUGUAACCUUUUUUGGUCUUUGAUUUUUUUUUUCUUUUUUUUGUACCAGAGAUUGAACCCACUGGGCCACAUCCCCGGCCCUUUUUUAUUUAGAGACAUGAGACACAGUCUCACUAAGUUGCUUAGGACCUUUCUAAAUUGCUGAGGCUGGCUUUGAACUUGAAAUCCUCCUGUCUCAGCCUUCCAAGCCGCUGGGAUUACAGGCAUGUACCACCAGAACAGACCUCCCCACUCCAUAAUGGAAUGUUCCUUAUUUUAGGUUUUUUGUUUGUCUCAUGUUUAUUCAUUAUUAGAUUCAAGUUAUCCACUCUUGGUCUAGAUACUACAUAAGUGAUAUUGUGUACUCAGAAUUUCAUACCCAAAGGGCAGAUGACUCUUUGUCCCUCACCUGGUCAAGAUGCCUGAUUUCUCCAAAAUAUAUUUACUAAUUUUUUCCUUGUAACUAAUAAACAAUAUGUAAAGAGACACAUUAGAUCAUUCAUUAUGCUUCUAUGUUUAUCAUCUACUGAUGAUUCUUAUCUAUACCAGUCCUUCUUUAUCUCUUAUUUAGUUAUUUGGUUGCCUAUUUAUUACUGACAGGGAUGCAUGAGUUACUAUUUUUUCUAUGGUUUGUAAUUCAUUAUUCUCCUUAAUUAUUUUUGUGCUAGAAUUUUUGAGAUUUAGUGAAUAGGUACCUUUUCAAGUUGGCUUCUAUAUCCCUCUUUUUUUUUUCUUUUUUUGUAUGAGGAUUGAACCCAAGGGAGGUUUACCAUUGAGCCAGCCCUUUUUACCACCAUCCCCAACCCUUUUUGAGAUGGGGGUCUCACUAAGUUGCUUAGGGCCUUGCUAAACUGGUGAGGCUGGCUGUGGUCCUCCGCCUCAGUCUGAUGAGUUGCUGGGAUUACAGGUAUGCACCACUAUGUCUGGUUUUCUGUCUUUUUUAGCAUUGCUGAAUAAUAGAAGUUCCAAGUUCAUCUUUGACUUAUCCUGGCCAAGCCAUUUCUCUAAGGAGUCUUAGUCCUUUUUGUGGGAAUUAUAUUAGAAAAGAUCUGGGCAUUAAUCCCAGAAUGACUUAUUAGAUGCUUGUGGCCUUGGGUAUGAAUGCCAACCCUGAAUGGACAGUGUCCUUACUUAUCCUUUCCCUGAGUAUAGCAAGACUGAAAUUCCCAAGAUUUUUCUUUCCAUGACUCCUUUAGGGUAUCUUUAGUAGAGAAAGCUUGAAUAGGGGAAUGAGGCAGAUUUUCAUUGCCUAUUCCAUGAAUACUUAGUUAGCUGCUGUAGCAGUCAGCCCAGUCAGCCCGACCCCUAUAUCUCUGUGGCUUAACCCAAUUAAGUUUUACUGCUUGCUCCCAUCAUCAGUUCAUUGUGGGUGGUAAGAGUGAGAUGUUUGUUUUCUCCCAUGAAGUCAUUCAGGAUUCCAGGAAGUUCAUCCAGAUUGUUGUGGUUUCACUAUUCCUUUUAGCCUUGGAUUUUACCACUAGAUUUUAAAUCUCAGACUAGAAAAAAAAGAGGGGGCGGGAUAUGGAUGAUUAUGUAGAGUUUUUACAGGCCAGGCCUAGAGGUAUCAAAUACAUAAAUCUAUUCUACAUUCAUUGGUAGGAACUCUGGAACAUGAAUAUUGCUAACUGUAAGGAAGGGUUAGAAAAUGUAAUCUUAAUCAUAUACACAGAAGGAAAAUAGAUUAUAGUAAAAUUAAGAUAAACCACUUUCUGCCUCACCCAAAAGCCAUUCCCUAUAUUACUUCUUUCUUGUUAAUCCUAGUUUUGUUCAGGUAGAAAGAAGAUCCUUUGGUUUCAAGGAAGGCAAGUUCCUCCUCGCACUCAGGAAAUAAAUCACAAUUGGUCUAAACCAAUCCUGGUAAUUCCAUUUCUCUUUGAAACUGAUAGGUCUAAGGACGGGUAUGGGACUUAGUUCUGGAUGAUGAAAUACUACAGGAAGUCUGCUGGGAGGCUCCUGAGGGGAAAAUCUUUUUGUGUAAAGAAGAUAGUAUUUUGAGGGGAAAAAAAUUCUUUUGCUCCUGCCUCUAUCUUAUUUCUCAGAUAAAAGCAGGAAGACAGGUAGCCUGGAGCUCCCAGAGCUAUGUUAUGACCACAAAUACUACAACAAAAAGCAACGGAGAGAAACAGCAUGCUGAAGACAGAGGAGAAUGAUGGGAAAAGCAGGUCCUGGAGGAGGUGGUUCAUCUUAUGAAUGAACUUGGAACUGCCCACUUCUGAACUUCCUCUUCUUUUGUGUGGUACUGAAGAUUGUACCCAGGGGCACUCUACCACAGAGCUACCCCCAGCCUUUUUUAAUUUUUAUUUUGUGACAGGAUCUCACUAAAUUGCUGAGGCUGGCCUCAAACUUGCCAUCCUCCUACCUCAGCCUCCCUGUUAUACUUUAACCUCCUGUUACAUAAGCCAAACAUGCUUACCUGAUACUGGAGAGAACAAGGAGAUAUUUUCUAAAAGAAGGAGCUAUUCUGUGCUGUCCAUAGGUUCUGAGAAGUAAAGGAAGAUAAAGAUAGAAGUGUCCUGCAGAUCUGGCAAUUAAAUAGUCAUUGCUAAUUUUAUAGCAACUUUAGUGGCAUAGUGGGGGCAGAAGCAGCGUGGUUCCUCCAUAAGAUUAUGCAUGGUAUGAAUGACUGACAAGCUGGGAAGGAAGGUUUGGCCCACCUUGAUGAUAGAAUUUACUAUGGGUAAUACCUUUAUUAAUACCUUUAUUCAGCCCUCGACAUCCAAGGAAGUUUCUUGGGUUUGAGCUGUCCACAUUGGCUACAUCUGGGAAGUCAUUAGCAGAAUUAUUUUGACUUUCUCUCACUUCUCACAGAAAUAAGCCAAGAAAAGUUCUGGCCCCUUACCGGAUGUCAUGAAGGACAAAUCUAGCAUAAGUUAUGGGGAUUAGACUAGAAAAUUUUGGGGACUGGGUUCCAGCAGAAAUGAUAGCCUGAUGGAACAGGAGUCUGAAUGAAGGGCAAGCCUAUAUGAUUCAAGUGGAAGAUUCUAAUACAAGCAGUUAAAAGGGGAGUGACAAUGGAGAGUGGCAGCAGUUGCACAGCAAUGCACUAAAUGCUAUUGAAUUAUACAUCUUAAAAUGCUUAAUUGUAUGUUAUAUGAAUUUUACCUCAAUAAAAAUGGAGAUGAAGGGAGGUUUUCAGAAUUUA